CACUCGAUCCUCAGGACUCCAAGAUCAAGCCCAGAGCAGUUGCCCACUCUUCCUUGCCAAUGCGGAGGAAGCCCUGGAACCCCAACGCUGUGCUCCAGCCCAGGGUCCAUCCUUGGGGCACCCCCGUCCUCUCGGCAUGGAGCACCGAACAAUCCUAACCAGAUGCAAAAAUCAAUGGCAGAAGAAAAGACAGAGCAGAGCAACCUUCUGAGCAGAAUGUGAGCGAGGAGAGUGGCUUUAAAAAGGCCUCAACAGACUGUCUGGGGUGCAGCUUGUAAAGUGGAGAAUAAAUGACUUUUUUUU
Lutra lutra (Eurasian river otter) is the source of this 303-nucleotide long non-coding RNA. RefSeq lists it as uncharacterized. The record is from RefSeq and is a predicted model, not a curated record. The transcript has 2 exons. Lineage: Eukaryota; Metazoa; Chordata; Mammalia; Carnivora; Mustelidae.